RNAcentral lists this long non-coding RNA (250 nucleotides) under Elaeis guineensis (African oil palm). Its description in RNAcentral is "long non-coding RNA (EGUI_LNC061754)". Lineage: Eukaryota; Viridiplantae; Streptophyta; Magnoliopsida; Arecales; Arecaceae. The record is from RNAcentral.
CACUGACCUCAAAUCCAUCCAAAAUCUUGGAUCUCCAUUUCAAAUCCUAGAGCAAACUCUCUCUCUCUCUCUCUCUCGGCAUACCCUCUUGCUCUCCAUCAAAUCUCAAGCGCUAACUUGCAAAAUCCGUGACAAUCAUCCCUAAACCAUCUUCUCCUCUUCAUUUCCAUCCAUUCCUCAUUCCUUUCUAUCUUCUUGAUCAAUUUCUCUGCUCUCUUUAGGACAAUGGCUCCCAAAAUGAGGUUGCCAC